RNAcentral lists this ribosomal RNA (301 nucleotides) under uncultured bacterium. Its description in RNAcentral is "partial 16S ribosomal RNA". It matches the Rfam family "Bacterial small subunit ribosomal RNA", at positions 509 to 807 of the family's 1533-position model. The record is from RNAcentral.
CAGUCGCCGCGGUAAUACGAAGGGGGCUAGCGUUGCUCGGAAUGACUGGGCGUAAAGGGCGCGUAGGCGGCGGCCAAAGUCAGGCGUGAAAUUCCCGGGCUCAACCUGGGGGCUGCGUUUGAUACUUGGUUGCUUGAGUGGGGAAGAGGGUCGUGGAAUUCCCAGUGUAGAGGUGAAAUUCGUAGAUAUUGGGAAGAACACCGGUGGCGAAGGCGGCGACCUGGUCCUUGACUGACGCUGAGGCGCGAAAGCGUGGGGAGCAAACAGGAUUAGAUACCCCAGUAGUCCCUGUCUCUUAUAC